Molecule: ribosomal RNA, 404 nt
Filed under: Fusobacteriota bacterium
Lineage: Bacteria; Fusobacteriati; Fusobacteriota
Description: Fusobacteria bacterium partial 16S ribosomal RNA
Rfam family: Bacterial small subunit ribosomal RNA
Source: RNAcentral
UGGGGAAUAUUGCACAAUGGAGGGAACUCUGAUGCAGCGACGCCGCGUGAGUGAUGAAGGAAUUCGUUUCGUAAAACUCUGUUCUAUGGGAAGAAAAGGACUGUACCAUAGGAGAAAGCUCCGGCUAAAUACGUGCCAGCAGCCGCGGUAAUACGUAGGGAGCGAGCGUUGUCCGGAAUUAUUGGGCGUAAAGGGUGCGCAGGCGGCUUUACAAGUUGGAGGUGAAAUAUUGUGGCUCAACCACAAACGUGCAUCCAAAACUGCAAAGCUGGAGUUAAGGAGAGGUAAGUGGAAUUCCUGGUGUAGCGGUGGAAUGCGUAGAUAUCAGGAGGAAUACCGGUGGCGAAGGCGACUUACUGGACUUAAACUGACGCUCAGGCACGAAAGCGUGGGGAGCAAACAGG